GGGGCAGCAUGGUCUUAGCUUGCUAAGGCUGAUGGCGACCGGCGCACGGGUGAGUAACACGUAUCCAACCUGCCGUCUACUCUUGGCCAGCCUUCUGAAAGGAAGAUUAAUCCAGGAUGGGAUCAUGAGUUCACAUGUCCGCAUGAUUAAAGGUAUUUUCCGGUAGACGAUGGGGAUGCGUUCCAUUAGAUAGUAGGCGGGGUAACGGCCCACCUAGUCAACGAUGGAUAGGGGUUCUGAGAGGAAGGUCCCCCACAUUGGAACUGAGACACGGUCCAAACUCCUACGGGAGGCAGCAGUGAGGAAUAUUGGUCAAUGGGCGAUGGCCUGAACCAGCCAAGUAGCGUGAAGGAUGACUGCCCUAUGGGUUGUAAACUUCUUUUAUAAAGGAAUAAAGUCGGGUAUGCAUACCCGUUUGCAUGUACUUUAUGAAUAAGGAUCGGCUAACUCCGUGCCAGCAGCCGCGGUAAUACGGGAGGAUCCGAGCGUUAUCCGGAUUUAUUGGGUUUAAAGG
Molecule: ribosomal RNA, 514 nt
Filed under: uncultured Bacteroidales bacterium
Lineage: Bacteria; Pseudomonadati; Bacteroidota; Bacteroidia; Bacteroidales
Description: bacterial SSU rRNA
Rfam family: Bacterial small subunit ribosomal RNA
Source: RNAcentral